RNAcentral lists this ribosomal RNA (253 nucleotides) under uncultured bacterium. Its description in RNAcentral is "partial 16S ribosomal RNA". It matches the Rfam family "Bacterial small subunit ribosomal RNA", at positions 524 to 776 of the family's 1533-position model. The record is from RNAcentral.
UACGUAGGGUGCAAGCGUUGUCCGGAAUUAUUGGGCGUAAAGAGCUCGUAGGCGGUCUGUCGCGUCUGCUGUGAAAACCUAGGGCUUAACUCUGGGCGUGCAGUGGGUACGGGCAGGCUAGAGUGCGGUAGGGGAGACUGGAAUUCCUGGUGUAGCGGUGAAAUGCGCAGAUAUCAGGAAGAACACCCGUGGCGAAGGCGGCUCUCUGGGACGGUACUGACGCUGAGACGCGAAAGCGUGGGGAGCGAACAGG